CCUACGGGAGGCAGCAGUGAGGAAUAUUGGUCAAUGGACGAGAGUCUGAACCAGCCAAGUAGCGUGAAGGAUGACUGCCCUAUGGGUUGUAAACUUCUUUUAUACGGGAAUAAAGUGAGCCACGUGUGGCUUUUUGUAUGUACCGUAUGAAUAAGGAUCGGCUAACUCCGUGCCAGCAGCCGCGGUAAUACGGAGGAUCCGAGCGUUAUCCGGAUUUAUUGGGUUUAAAGGGAGCGCAGACGGGAGAUUAAGUCAGUUGUGAAAGUUUGCGGCUCAACCGUAAAAUUGCAGUUGAUACUGGUUUCCUUGAGUGCAGUUGAGGCAGGCGGAAUUCGUGGUGUAGCGGUGAAAUGCUUAGAUAUCACGAAGAACUCCGAUUGCGAAGGCAGCACACUAAGCCGUAACUGACGUUCAUGCUCGAAAG
RNAcentral lists this ribosomal RNA (424 nucleotides) under uncultured Parabacteroides sp. Its description in RNAcentral is "bacterial SSU rRNA". It matches the Rfam family "Bacterial small subunit ribosomal RNA", at positions 338 to 759 of the family's 1533-position model. The record is from RNAcentral. Lineage: Bacteria; Pseudomonadati; Bacteroidota; Bacteroidia; Bacteroidales; Tannerellaceae.